UUUUAAUUUUAAUUUCUCUUUUCGCUUCGUUUCAACGGUCGAGGAUUUUGCGAAACCGUAGCUGAGAGAAGAGCAGCAAUUCUGGUCUCUGGUCUCCUCUUCUAUUCUUCUGUGAGCUUCACUUCGAUUUCCUCCACUUCUCUGCAAGCAUAGAUAUCCGGUGCCGAAUCUAUCGCCGCUGAAAGCCUGGGGCUUAUCCAAGCCGAGAGUGAAAGAGAUGGGGAGGGGAUUGUGUUAUUGGUGUGAUGAGAAGAGUGGAAUCUGCUUUCAUGCGAUAGAACCUCAAAAGACAAGAAUACCUCUUUCUCACAAAGUUUAUGUGAGAUAUGCUUGAGUUGAAAACAGAAGCGUGUUGUCUGGAGAAUAAGCAAUCCACUGCUGCUUCUUGCUCCUCUGUUUCCGAAGGCAGUGGCAGCCCAAUUAACAAGUCCACAGAGAUGUGUGGCCCUACAUCUACAUCGCCCUCACACCGGAGGAUCACUGGCCCUAUAAGGCGUGCAAAGGGAGGUUGGACGGCAGAAGAGGAUGAGACAUUAAGGAAUGCUGUUGCAACUUACAAGGGCAAGAAUUGGAAGAAAAUAGCUGAGUAUUUUCCUGAUAGAACAGAAGUUCAAUGCCUUCACAGAUGGCAAAAAGUUCUCAAUCCAGAACUUGUUAAAGGACCUUGGACAUUGGAGGAGGAUGAUAAAAUUGUUGAACUGGUCUCAAAAUUUGGGCCUACAAAAUGGUCUCUUAUAGCCAGGUCUUUGCCUGGUCGAAUAGGGAAACAGUGCCGAGAGCGAUGGCACAAUCAUCUUAAUCCUGACAUAAAGAAAGAUGCCUGGACUUUGGACGAGGAAUUGGCCCUGAUAAAUGCUCAUCAUACCCAUGGGAACAAAUGGGCUGAAAUAGCCAAGGUUCUUCCUGGAAGAACUGAUAAUGCAAUAAAGAACCAUUGGAAUAGUUCUUUGAAGAAAAAGUUGGAUUUUUAUUUAGCUACAGGAAGACUUCCACCAGUGCCAAAGAACAAUGCACAAGUUGCUGUCAAAGAUACAAUUAGACUUUCUACUUCUAAAACAAUUCCUGUUUGUUCAAGUAAAGAAUUAAAUUUAGCUGUUGAAACACCAUUUGAACCUACAACUGUUAGUAUGCUAGAUGAGAGUGGCAUGAAUCAGUCAUCCUCAGGGACAGUUAGAGAUGUUCGUGAUUCUUCAAGUGUUCCUGCGAAUGAAUCUGCUGAUUCUGACGGUGUAGAAUGCAAACCUGGAUCAUCCAACAUAGAUCUCGCCUGGAGCAACUCAAAGCCUGUGUCAAUAGUUAAUUUCAGAAUAACUUGUGGGACAAAUUUUGAGAAUUCUGGACUAAGUGUAAACUCAAAAUUUGAGCGGUGUGUAGACAAUUGUGAAAUGAGCUGCAGCAGCAGGUCUAUCAGAACUUCUUUCUCCCAAGAAAGUCCUACCUGUGGUUCUUUGUGUUAUGAGCCGCCACAGUUAAGUGGUUCAGUUCCUUUAGAUUCUCUUUCUUUAAGCCUGCAGAAUGAAUACUGCUCUAAUCCGAUGUUGUCGCCUAUCGAUUACUUCACUCCAGCUAGUGUGAAGGGUAGUGAAUUAUGCAGCGAGACACCUGAAUCAUUUUUGAAAAAAGCUGCUGAUACUUUUCCAAACACUCCUUCCAUAUUGAGGAGACGGAACAGAGUCGAAACACAAACCCCUCCUUGUAAACUUUUGAAGGUAGAAAAUCAUUCUUGUACUUCUAAUGAAUCAGAGAGAACCAAGGAUAAUUCUGGAUCUGAGGUUGGGAGGUUCUCUGAGAGUCCAGCAAGCCAUGACAAUGAGAGUGACCUUCCCAAGGCUUACAAUGCAUCUCCACCAUACCAGUUGAGAUCCAAGCGAACAGCAGUUCUCAAGUCCGUGGAGAAACAACUAGAAUUUGCAUUUGAGGAAAAAAAAUGAAAGCAAUUUCAACUGAAUGAAAAUACCUGCAAAGAGUAGCAAUCUGAUUAUGAAGAAACAACAUAGCAAAUAAUUUAAUUGAUUUAGGUACUUUAUUGAUUUUGGCUGGUUCUUCCAAAUGGUUUGAUAACGUUCGCGUAUUUCGGGAAGACAGUUGGAUAGUUGGUUUUUCAUUUUCAUCACACGUGAACAGAAUUCAGCAGCUGUAGGAUCCGGUAUGUAUAGAAUAAGGCUUGCUGUAUAUACCAGUUUUGUACGGUUUAGGAACAAUAAAUCUUUAAGUAGCGUCGGUGUUUCCUUGGGUAUUUUUUCUUAAACUUUUUCCAGCCUGACUUACAAAUCAAUAAAAAUGCAACUACCAUUCGGAGGCA
This is a non-coding RNA of Arachis ipaensis, 2302 nucleotides long. The record is from RefSeq and is a predicted model, not a curated record. NCBI's taxonomy places the organism in Eukaryota, Viridiplantae, Streptophyta, Magnoliopsida, Fabales, Fabaceae.